GAACUCGAUUGCAAUCCGCGGAACUCGAUUUCGGUUCCGCGGAACUCGCGAUGGGUCCCCCGGAACUCGAUUGCGUCCACCGGGGGUUUUAUUAAUUUUUGAAGGUUGAUGAAUAUAGAAUAAAUAGGCUGAAAGUUGAGAGAACGUGUAUUAAAUAUUUGCACUCCGGUUCACAGACGCCCCCCGGAACUCGUGACGGUCCGCAGGGGACGGGUAGGCGUCUGUGAACCGAAGUGUGUAUAUAUAUAUGUUUUAGAAAUUUUAAGAUUAUAAUUAUUAAUAACCUUAAAUAAUAUUAAAAUGAAUAGGAAAAUAAAAUGUGGUGGGGUUGAUAUUGUGGUUUUCCACUAUAUCAACCUUCUCCUAUGUAUCUAUCCUUCUUAGUGUUUUAGCUAAGAAUUGGGCCUCAGAAGGGUUGUCUCCCAAACCUACAUAGUAGUCCUUUUCAAUUGUGAACCACAUUUUUUCUUAAAGAUAUCAGCUCUAAAAUAUAUUAUGCACUUUGAAUGUUUUAUAUUACUUGUAAUCUUGUAUGUUUAUUAUGCUAUUGACUUGUUUCAAAUUUUAAUGUAUGAUUUUAUAUUAUUAUUGUUUAAUUUUAGAGAUUUAUUUAAAAUAAGAAAAAAGAUGAUAUGUUUGGAAAAAAAUGAUUUGAUUCCGGAUAAUUCGGAUAUCUAGACAAAAUUAAUGAAUUCGGAUUACGAAUUUACUAUCCGUAAAAUAUUUGGACGAAUUCGGAUUACGAAUUUACUAUCCGUAAAAUAUUUGGAUGAAUCCUGAUAUUUUAACGAAUCCAAUUCCAGAGACUAUAAGUUCCGUUCCAAACAGACUUCUGAUCUUCUAUACCCAAAGACUAUGUGAUGGGUCUAUCCCUUCCCUCUCCUUAAUUUGUAAUCUGUGAUGGAUUUAGCAGAUUUUUUUGAACUUGUUAGUAUUUCAAUUGUAGAAUUGUUGGAUCUAUCCUCCUCCAUCUCCUCGACAUUUUUGUCCAAAACUCACCGAACAGAGUUAGUUGUUUUUGAGAAAAUAUUGUUUUCAACUGUACUCCCAUCCGUAAGCUGAAAGAACAGUCAAUUUGCAUUUGUAGGCGGGAUAGUUUGUGACUUUGUGUUUCUGAAGACUACAUAUUUACAGCCUUAUAGGCACCACUUGUCGUGGAGGUAUCUUUUCUUAGUUGAGGCAGCUCCCCUUGACAUAUUUUCGUUCCCUGAAUCCUUCGCCAUCCGCAGUUGGGGUCGACAAUCAUCAGAAAAGUGUUUUACAAAUGUCAGAAUUCCCAAAUUAUAAAUCGCAAAUUCCGAUUUAAAUUAUUUUUAAUUGAAAUACAAAGGUAACCUCCCAGCAAAAUUAUUUUUAGGAGUGUUGUAUCGUUUAUUGAUACAUUGUUCAUUGUUUUGCCAAAACAAAGUUUAAUUUGAACACAGGCAUAACAAUCUAAUCCUCUAAAAUAGUGAGAUAGAAGGGGGGAAUGAAAAGAAUGAAAAAGAAAAUGUAACAUUUGGAAUCGUGAAACAUUUAAAAAAAUAUAUCCGAAAAAUCCAAGUAAUCAAACACAUCAUGUUAAAUUUAAAUUCACAAAAAAAAAAUCACCGAUGGGGGAAGCACAGGAGCUGAAGAAAUUGAAGCAUCUCCAUCUUUACGUGACUCGUCAUGUCCCUUGGCAUACAUCCGAGUUUCUCUCAGACCGCGGAAAUAAGACAAUGGGAAUCGCUGGAAAGAUCGAGAAGAAAAGGAAGGAAGAGAAAAACAAAGGGAAGAAACUCUCGAUCGGGAUAAAAUAAUGGGUUUGAGUAAGGACGAAUUAAAACAAAGAGGAGCUUUGGAUUGGUAUAGCGGGGAGAUUCCGCCGCCGAACGUGAGAUGCAAUGCUCUCUGCAUGAUCGUUAGAGCGCAACACGAUGUCGAUUAUCAGUAGUAGGGUGGAUUUUCAUCGAAUUCAACGCUGUUCCCAAAUCCCAACCGUCACAGUCGCCAACGAGAUGUGUGGUGAUUGUAAAAUCGUGAUAGGGUAGGACUAGGAAGGUCGAGAUUGUAGAAAAAUUGGGGAGAAAAUCUGCAUAACACUGACAGGAUAAUAUUUUGGAAAUAAAUAAAUAAAAAUACAAACAAAAAAUUCUCCCUUAGAGAUUCUUUUUUUUUUUUU
Molecule: long non-coding RNA, 2143 nt
Filed under: Zostera marina
Lineage: Eukaryota; Viridiplantae; Streptophyta; Magnoliopsida; Alismatales; Zosteraceae
Description: long non-coding RNA (ZMAR_LNC004710)
Source: RNAcentral